GGCACUCCCUUCCUGGGCCGCGGUGCGCCGCCGGGGGCGCUGCCGCCGCCGGGUCUCCCCGCGCUAGGAGGAGAACAGCUGGAGCCGAGGGGGAGCGGCCUUCCUAAAACCUGCUCUGGAAACAAAGCAUGACGUGUAGGCCGAAUCUACGGCCAGGGAGGUGUGGCCCCGAGGUGACCAGGCCGGCCGAGGGGCCCGCACGCAUCCGCACUGAGGGAUCCCGACGGGCGGACAGGCCCCGAAGGGCCGAUGUGGCUCAGGAAGGAGUUGACCAUGUGGGAACGUGGUGACCUAGACCCGAAGGACCCUGAGUGGCCAGAUGACCCGACAGGCAUAAAUGUUGUGAAGGCUGGAUUGGCAGGGUUAAGGGGUUUGGGAAAUCUACACUGAGGUAAUCCGGCGAUCACUAGCUUUAAUUGAUGUCCAACCCUUGGUUAAGGCCAGCCAGUCUUCCUAAAUUGCUGCCUGCCUGAGGACGCCAGAAGAACAAGUGCCUGUCCCUUUCUCCUGCCUUUGACGUUUUUCUAGCAAUGGAGCUGAGGAUAGAAGAGUCGUGAUCCUGUAGAUGUGGAAGUACCUAAUACAUUUACUUCACUGACUUGAUAAGAUACUCAGAAGUGGAAUGGUUAGAUCCUAUGGAACUACAGUUCUAUUUUUAAUUUUGUGAGGAACCUCCAUACUCUUUUCCACAAUGGCUGCACCCAUUCCCACCAACAGUGCCCAAGGGUUCCCUCUUCUCUACAUCCUCAACACCCUUGUUAUUUCAUGUAUUUUUGAUAAGAACCAUCCUAACAGUUACAAGAUGAUAGCUCACUGUGGUUUUGACUUGCAUUUCCCUGAUGAUUAGUGAUGUUGAGUGUCUUUUCAUAUACCUAUUGACUAUCUGUGUGUCUUCUUUAGAAAAAUGUCUGUUCAGUAGCCAAAGCAAUCCUGAGAAAGAAGAACAAACCUGGGGGUAUUACGGUCCCUGACUUCAAGCUAUACUACAAAGCUACAGUAAUCAAAAGAGUACGGUACUAGCACAAGAGCAGACUCAUAGAUCAAUGGAACAGAAUAGAGAGCCCAGAUAUAAACCCAAGCAUAUAUGGUCAAUUAAUAAAGAACCCAUGAAUGUAUAAUGGGGAGAAGAUACCCUCUUUGGUAACUGGUGUUGGGAAAACUGGACAGCUGCAUGAAGAGAAUGAAACUAGAUUACUUCCUAACCCCAUACACAAAAGUAAACUCGAAAUGGAUCAAAGACCUGAAUGUAAGACAUGAAACCAUGGAAGUCUUAGAAGAAAACAUAGGAAAAAAUCUCUUGAACAUAACCAUGAGCAAUGUUCUCCUGGACACAUCUUGGGCAAGAGAAAGAAAAUAAAAAAUGAACAAGUAGGACUACAUCAAACUAAAAAUCUGUAUAGCAAAGGACACCAUCAGCAGAACAAAAAGGCAACCUACAAUAUGGGAGAAUAUAUUCAUAAAUGGUUUAUCCAAUAAGGAAUUAAUAUCCAAAAUAUAUUAAGAACUGACAUGCCUCAACACCAAAAAAAACAACUCAAUGAUCCCUCUGCCCAUGGGAGCCGUCCUAGCAGUCUAAACCAACUGUGGCCCAUGGGCCAAAUGUAAUUGACCACAUUUUGUACUUCGCAUGAAUGAGUUGGUUUUACAUUUGUAAGUGGUUGAAAAGCUUUUAAAGAACACUAGUUUGUGACAAGUGAAAAUUAUAUGAAAUUCAAAUGUGUCUAUAAAUAAAGAUUUAUUGGAACACAGCCACUGUCACUUAUUUACAUAUUGUCUCUGGCUGCUUUUGUGCUAUAAUGGCAGAGCUGAGCAGUUGUAAGACUGUUUGGCCAGAGUCCUUUACAGUUUGCCGAGCCCUCAUCUAGACAGCGCUGCCAUGCGGGCAGGAGGUGGGAGGCAGACGGGAGGAGCACUUGGAAAC
This is a long non-coding RNA of Manis pentadactyla (Chinese pangolin), 1921 nucleotides long. RefSeq lists it as uncharacterized. The transcript is spliced from 3 exons. The record is from RefSeq and is a predicted model, not a curated record. Lineage: Eukaryota; Metazoa; Chordata; Mammalia; Pholidota; Manidae.